CGUAAGAACUUGCCCUUGGGAGGGGGACAACAACUGGAAACGGCUGCUAAUACCCCGUAAGCUGAGGAGCAAAAGGGAGGGAUCCGCCCAAGGAGGGGCUUGCGUCUGAUUAGCUGGUUGGUGAGGCAAUGGCUUACCAAGGCGACGAUCAGUAGCUGGUCUGAGAGGAUGAUCAGCCACACUGGGACUGAGACACGGCCCAUACUCCGUAGGGAGGCAGCAGUGGGGAAUCUUCCGCAAUGGGCGAAAGCCUGACGGAGCAAUGCCGGGUGGAGGCAGAAGGCCCACGGGUCGUAAACUCCUUUUCU
This 308-nucleotide ribosomal RNA is filed under the name uncultured organism. Its description in RNAcentral is "bacterial SSU rRNA". It matches the Rfam family "Bacterial small subunit ribosomal RNA", at positions 116 to 439 of the family's 1533-position model. The record is from RNAcentral.